This is an RNA transcript of Capsicum annuum, 2516 nucleotides long. It is a transcript of the gene named bifunctional TH2 protein, mitochondrial, with no coding region annotated. NCBI's taxonomy places the organism in Eukaryota, Viridiplantae, Streptophyta, Magnoliopsida, Solanales, Solanaceae. The transcript has 7 exons. The record is from RefSeq and is a predicted model, not a curated record.
ACAUUUUCCUGACUUUGGCCCCUUACCAAAUUGUAGUUUAUUUAAAAUCACCUCUUUUCUUCCUUCCACAUUAUACAUGUAGAAUACUGCAAACACCAAAAAAAAUUUCCAAUUUCAUUUACAAUCCCAAAUUUUAUAAAUAAAUUCUCAGAAAUAAAAAACCCUGCCUUAUAUAUAUGCGCUUCUUAUUAUUAUUAUCGCCCCUUGUUGUUAAUAGACUACCAAUUCCAAACCCAUUAUUCGAUUUCUACAAAUCGAAGGCACUUUUCGGAUUCCGAAUGGCGUCGGCGAAAGCAAAGGCGCCGGCGGUGAACAAGUUUGCGAUAGAGGAGGAAGGUGUGGGUAUAGCGAGGAGGUGUUGGAUCAACUUCAAGAAAGAGUCUACCUUUGCACUUUACACUCCAUUUGUCGUUUCCUUAGCUUCUGGAACCUUGAAUCUUGAUACUUUCCGACAUUAUAUUGCUCAGGAUGUUCACUUCCUCAAGGCAUUCGUUCAAUCGUAUGAAGCUGCAGAAGAGUGUACUGACGAUGACGAUGCGAAGGUUGGCAUUAGUGAAUUGCGCAAGAAUAUUACUGAAGAACUUAAAAUGCAUGAUGCUGUUUUGAAAGAGUGGGGCAUUGAUUUGGUCAAAGAGUGCACUCUUAACCCUGCAACGGCGAAGUACACAGAUUUUUUAUCAGCUACAGCUUCAGGAAAGGUUGAAGGAGUAAAAGCUGCUAAACUUGCCACGCCAUUUGAGAGAACGAAGUUGGCAGCUUAUACUCUAGGUGCUAUGACUCCUUGCAUGAGACUUUAUGCCUACAUUGGUAAGGAGCUGCAAGUGUUUCUCGAGGGAGAGAAAACUCAUCCAUACAAGAAGUGGAUUGACAGUUAUGCCUCUGAAGAUUUCCAGGCAUCAGCUCUACAGACAGAGGACUUGUUGGAUAAACUGAGUGUAUCUUUGACAGGCGAGGAGCUUGACAUUAUUGAAAAACUUUAUCAUCAAGCAAUGAAACUUGAAAUACAGUUCUUCUUAGCCCAGCCACUUGUUCAGAAAGCUAUCAUCCCUUUGUCAAAAGAUCACAACCCUGAUGAACACCAGCUAACAAUAUUUUCCGAUUUUGAUUUGACAUGCACUGUUGUUGAUUCUUCUGCCAUCUUGGCUGAAAUUGCAAUUAUAACAGCACCAAAAUCUGAUCAAAAUCGACCAGAGAAUCAAAUUGCGAGGAUGUCAUCGGCCGAGUUAAGGAAUACAUGGAGCGAUCUCUCUAAGCAGUACACCGAAGAGUAUGAGCUAUGUAUUGAGAAGAUGUUACUUACUGAGAAAGCAGAAAAAUUUGAUUACAGAAGACUGCGUAAAACACUUGAGCAACUUUCUGAUUUUGAGAAAAGGGCAAAUAGCAGGGUGGUUGAAUCUGGGGUACUGAAAGGUCUGAACCUUGAAGACAUUAAACGAGCUGGGCAGCGAUUGAUUCUCCAGGAUGGUUGCACCAACUUUUUCCAGAGCAUAAUAAGAAAAGAAAACCUGAAUGCAGAUAUUCAUGUCCUCUCCUAUUGCUGGUGUGGUGACCUUAUUAGGUCUUCCUUUUCAUCAGGGGGAAUAGAUGGUCUCGAUGUACAUGCCAAUGAGUUUAUGUUUCAAGAAUCUCUAUCCACUGGUGAAAUUGUUAAGAAAGUUGAAUCCCCCAUUGACAAGGUUCAAGCGUUCAAUAAAAUUUUAAUGAAUUGUUGCAAGGACAAAAAGAAUCUGAUGGUAUAUAUUGGGGAUUCAGUUGGCGACUUACUUUGCUUGCUGGAAGCAGAUGUUGGGAUUGUGCUUGGUUCGAGCUCAAGUCUAAGGAGGGUGGGGAAUCAUUUUGGUGUUUCUUUUGUUCCUCUUUUCCCAGGUGUCGUCCAGAAACAGAAGAUGUACGCUGGGGUAGACUCAUCUAGUUGGAAGGGACUUUCUGGUGUUCUCUAUACUGCCUCAGGCUGGGCUGAGAUACAUGCUUUUGUAUUGGGAUCAUAAGUCUUCAAGUUACAUAUUCAACAUGCUAAUUAGGACAUAUGGAGAAAAAACCUUACGAAGUAUAUCAAUGCGUACAGAAUUGUGGCUAGUUUUAUUGCAGGCCACACCUAUUCUUUUCCAUUUUUGUUUUUCUACAGGGUCUUCUAUUCAGAAAUGUAAAUGUGAUUCAUUUGGCUGGAGAUUGUAUGAGUACAGCAUAUGUUAAAUAUGAGCAAGAUGCCAAUGGUUUUGGAGCAGGUGGUUUAAUGGUUUUGAAGCGUGCUGUAUCACUUCUUUGUCUCUGAAGCUAUUGGAAACAAUUAUUUUUGAUUGAUUAUUAUGGGUAUUUUUAGACCAGAAGCUGGAAGAAGGGUAUUUGUGAGCUAUUUGUUCAUAUGUUAAGGGUAUUUGAUCCUAUUUCAUUUUACCAAUCUAAUACUUUAGCUCGACAACUAUUGAAAACGAUUAUUGGUUGUAGUGUGGUGUUUUGUAAUGAAUGAUCUAGCUAUCACCAUUCCAGUUUUCAUAUGCUUUUCGUGUGCACAUAAA